Molecule: unclassified non-coding RNA, 284 nt
Filed under: plant metagenome
Description: partial contains small subunit ribosomal RNA, internal transcribed spacer 1, and 5.8S ribosomal RNA
Rfam family: Eukaryotic small subunit ribosomal RNA (bases 1-53)
Source: RNAcentral
GGAAGUAAAAGUGUAACAAGGUUUCCGUAGGUGAACCUGCGGAAGGAUCAUUAUUGUAUAACCGAGGUGCGAGGGCAGUCGCUGACCCGAAAGGUCGUGCACGCCCGAGUGCCCUCACACACAUCCAUCUCACCCCUAUGUGCACCACCGCGUGGGUCCCCCUUUGGCUUGUUCGGAGGGGGGCUUACGUUUUCACACAAACUUUGUAUGCAGUGUAGAAUGUAUUUUUUGUUUUUGCGAUCACGCAAUCAAUACAACUUUCAACAACGGAUCUCUUGGCUCUC